This 849-nucleotide ribosomal RNA is filed under the name uncultured archaeon. Its description in RNAcentral is "bacterial SSU rRNA". It matches the Rfam family "Archaeal small subunit ribosomal RNA", at positions 20 to 874 of the family's 1478-position model. The record is from RNAcentral.
GACCUGACUGCUAUCGGAUUGAUACUAAGCCAUGCGAGUCUUUGUAGUAAUACAAGGCAGACGGCUCAGUAACACGUAGUCAACCUACCCUAUGGACAAGAAUAAUCUCGGGAAACUGGGCAUAAUUCUUGAUAGAUCAUAAUGCCUGGAAUGGUUUAUGGUUAAAAUGAUUCGUCGCCAUAGGAUGGGACUGCGGCCUAUCAGCUUGUUGGUGAGGUAAUGGCCCACCAAGGCGAUUACAGGUACGGGCUCUGAGAGGAGAAGCCCGGAGAUGGGUACUGAGACACGGACCCAGGCCCUAUGGGGCGCAGCAGGCGAGAAAACUUUGCAAUGUGCGAAAGCACGACAAGGUUAAUCCGAGUGAUUUCUGCUAAAGAAAUCUUUUGCCAGUCAUAAAACCACUGGUGAAUAAGGGGUGGGCAAGUUCUGGUGUCAGCCGCCGCGGUAAAACCAGCACCUCAAGUGGUCAGGAUGAUUAUUGGGCCUAAAGCAUCCGUAGCCGGCUUUGUUAGUUUUCGGUUAAAUCCAUGUGCUCAACACAUAGGCUGCCGAAAAUACUGCAUAGCUAGGGAGUGGGAGAGGUAGACGGUACUCAGUAGGAAGGGGUAAAAUCCUUUGAUCUAUUGAUGACCACCUGUGGCGAAGGCGGUCUACCAGAACACGUUCGACGGUGAGGGAUGAAAGCUGGGGGAGCAAACCGGAUUAGAUACCCGGGUAGUCCCAGCUGUAAACGAUGCAGACUCGAUGAUGCAUUGGCAUAAUAGCCAGUGCAGUGUCGCAGGGAAGCCGUUAAGUCUGCCGCCUGGGAAGUACGUACGCAAGUAUGAAACUUAAAGGAAUUGGCGGGGG